AGAAAUGAAUAUGAUGACACAAUUCUUAUCCUAGAUGCUCUGAAGGUUACGGCCAACAUUGUUUUUGGAUAUGCAACGUGCCAAGGAGCAGAAGCUUUUGAAAUUCAGCAGUCAGGCUUGGCCAAUGGAAUCUUCAUGAAGUUCUUGAAGGACCGUUUGUUAGAAGACAAGAAGAUUACUGUACUGCUUGAUGAGGUUGCAGAAGAUAUGGGCAAGUGUCACCUUACCAAAGGCAAGCAAGCUUUGGAGAUCCGCAGCAGUUUGUCUGAGAAAAGGGCAUUAACUGAUCCCAUUCAACAAACCGCAUCUUCUGCAGAGUCUCUGGCACGGAACCUACAGUGGGCCAAAGCUCACG
This is a non-coding RNA of Pelecanus crispus (Dalmatian pelican), 355 nucleotides long. The record is from RefSeq and is a predicted model, not a curated record. Lineage: Eukaryota; Metazoa; Chordata; Aves; Pelecaniformes; Pelecanidae.